GUGGCUUAAUUUGACUCAACGCGGGAAAUCUUACCGGGUCCGGACACACUGAGGAUUGACAGAUAUAUACCCCGUGAUUUUAUCGCGGGGUUGAAAGAUGCUAGUUCUUUCAUGAUUAUGUGAUAGGUGGUGCAUGGCCGUUCUUAGUUCGUGGAGUGAUCUGUCUGCUUAAUUGCGUAUCAAUAAUAGAGACCUAGUAUACGCGUAGACUCAUGCGGUAGUGACCCCCCUUCACAGGGCGCGUGUCGCACGUAUGUUAUACGCACAGGUCUCCGAUAGCAACGAACGUGACCGUACUCUAUUGUUGCAGCGACAAUACCUUUCAACGGGUAUUACCGCUGCUUAGCAAGAUUCGUCUUGCAUUAAACUAUAGAGACCGCUGUUUCUUCUUUAAACCAGAGGAAGGAUACGGCAAUAACAGGUCUGUGAUGCC
RNAcentral lists this ribosomal RNA (433 nucleotides) under Ammonia aomoriensis. Its description in RNAcentral is "SSU rRNA". It matches the Rfam family "Eukaryotic small subunit ribosomal RNA", at positions 1185 to 1471 of the family's 1831-position model. Lineage: Eukaryota; Foraminifera; Rotaliida; Rotaliidae. RNAcentral also lists the same sequence under 1 other name. The record is from RNAcentral.